Molecule: ribosomal RNA, 422 nt
Filed under: uncultured bacterium
Lineage: Bacteria
Description: bacterial SSU rRNA
Rfam family: Bacterial small subunit ribosomal RNA
Source: RNAcentral
UAAGGAAUAUUGGACAAUGGAGGCAACUCUGAUCCAGCCAUGCCGCGUGAAGGAAUAAGGCCCUAUGGGUUGUAAACUUCUUUUAGACGGGACAAAACCCCUUUACGUGUAAAGGGUUGAUGGUACUGUCAGAAUAAGCAUCGGCUAACUUCGUGCCAGCAGCCGCGGUAAUACGAAGGAUGCAAGCGUUAUCCGGAAUUAUUGGGUUUAAAGGGUGCGUAGGCGGACUAAUAAGUCAGUGGUGAAAGCCUGCAGCUUAACUGCAGAAUUGCCAUUGAUACUGUUAGUCUUGAGUACAGUUGAGGUGGGCGGAAUGUGUCAUGUAGCGGUGAAAUGCUUAGAUAUGACACAGAACACCGAUUGCGAAGGCAGCUUGCUAAGCUGUAACUGACGCUGAGGCACGAAAGCGUGGGGAGCAAACA